GCCGAUGUGGUGGAAUUGGUAGACACGCUAUCUUGAGGGGGUAGUGCCUUUAUGGCGUGCCGGUUCGAUUCCGGCCAUCGGCACCA
RNAcentral lists this transfer RNA (86 nucleotides) under Pseudomonadota bacterium. RNAcentral describes it as "Proteobacteria bacterium tRNA-Leu". It matches the Rfam family "tRNA". From Rfam's summary of the family: Transfer RNA (tRNA) molecules are approximately 80 nucleotides in length. Their secondary structure includes four short double-helical elements and three loops (D, anti-codon, and T loops). Lineage: Bacteria; Pseudomonadati; Pseudomonadota. The record is from RNAcentral. RNAcentral also lists the same sequence under 1 other name.